AAGUCGUAACAAGGUUUCCGUAGGUGAACCUGCGGAAGGAUCAUUGUCGUGACCCUUAAACAAAACAGACCGUGAAUUUGUCACCAAUGCCGCUGGACCUCGGUCCGGCUUUGGCCCCCGACCUUCGUCUAGGAGGGGAGGGGCCACAACAGAACCCACGGCGCCGAAGGCGUCAAGGAACACUGAUAUUGCCAUGCGAGGGUGAGGGCUAGCUUGCUGGCCUAACCCCAAGCAGCGAUCAACCAUUAAUCCACACGACUCUCGGCAACGGAUAUCUCGGCUCUC
This 285-nucleotide unclassified non-coding RNA is filed under the name air metagenome. Its description in RNAcentral is "partial contains small subunit ribosomal RNA, internal transcribed spacer 1, and 5.8S ribosomal RNA". The stretch from base 1 to 46 matches the Rfam family "Eukaryotic small subunit ribosomal RNA", at positions 1786 to 1831 of the family's 1831-position model. The record is from RNAcentral.